GGGGCACUUGAAGAUGGCACCUCUCCACCAAAUUUCUUAACACCCAGAUACUUGGGGUUAGAGUCGCGGCCAUUUUUCGUUGACCCAGCAGUCUUUUUUGUGGCCCAACGCCUAAACACCAAGCUCAUUCCUCCAGAUGUCUCUGGAAUUAAGUACAUACAAAAUAAGGAUCAGGCCACUGGCCCAGAAAAGGAAGAAGAUAUAAAUUCUAAACUUUGA
RNAcentral lists this ribosomal RNA (219 nucleotides) under Triticum aestivum (bread wheat). Its description in RNAcentral is "partial small subunit ribosomal RNA". Lineage: Eukaryota; Viridiplantae; Streptophyta; Magnoliopsida; Poales; Poaceae. The record is from RNAcentral.